Molecule: long non-coding RNA, 602 nt
Organism: Armigeres subalbatus
Lineage: Eukaryota; Metazoa; Arthropoda; Insecta; Diptera; Culicidae
Exons: 3
Source: RefSeq, a predicted model, not a curated record
UAAAUCGAGAAUUUCAGCUCGGUAAUAUUAUUUACUGAUUUUAUUCGGUAAAAGAAAAAUUGAACCGAGAGCUCAGUUAACUCAUAAGAAUUAACUGAUUUCUGCAUUCAGUUUUACAGCUGUCUCAGUAGUUCAAAACAAAAAACCGAGUUCCGGUAAUAAGCAUUACUGAUCUACUCUGUUCUAAGAAAAUGUUCUGCACUUGUCAAAAAAUAAGCCGAUCACUCAGUAAAAUCAAAAGUGCUUUACUGAACACCCGUUAAAACGAUUACCGAGCUCAGUUUCCGGCCACAUAUCCCCUGAUGUGACGCGAAUCGGAAUCGAACACGAUUUUUUUUCGGACUUUCAUAGUGGCACCGGAUAAGAAUUUGAUCCUAAAUUCAUGUUCAGGCUGAUAUUCAAACCAGUAUUUCGCGUCGCUGCUGCUGAUGCUUCGUUACCAGUAUUUUACAUCUAAAUUCUAGAUUCGGGUCUAUAAUAAAACCGCAGAUACAAACUUUCUGGACGGCACAAUGCGGUCCUAUGCCACCAUCUUUAAAGUAGCUUCCCGAGGUGUGAGUGAAGAAGCGCUACUGGAGGAAGACGAACAAAUAUUCCCUAAC